AAUGAGAAAGCGUCGUGUCGUUUGAACCGGGGGAGCGGGACUCUAUCCUGAGCUGUUGUUGAAAACGGAAUAAAGACUUAUAUUUCAUACUUAUAUUUCAUCCCGUUGCUAAAUGAAUUAACUUUAAAUCUAAAAAUAAAAAGGUGUGAUAACGGAUAGAGACGGUUACCACGGUAAUGUUUGAGUUCGUCGGUUCCCGAUCUUCUUGUUGCUGAAACGGACCCUGCAAAAAAAGAGUAAAGAUGAACCGAGCAGGCCGACCGUUGUUCAUGAAGACCUACGGCAAACAGAACCGGAAGUUGGAGGCCUGGAUCUCCCCUGACAACCGAAAACAGGUUUUCGCCAGCACCUCUUCCUCUGACCUGUCCAUCGCUGAGCCCUCCAGCCCCAAACCCCCAGCCAAGAGAGGGAGAAAGAGAAGUACAGCAGAUGGCAGUAGAGCGCUGCGGCCGGCUAAGACCAAAGCCCUGUCCUGGACAGCAGAUAUCAGUAGUGAGCUGCGACUAGCGAAGACCAAAGCCCUGUCCUGUCUGAGAGAGCAGGACAGUGAUGAAGAGAACAUCUUCAUCGUCCCUCCUCCUCCUCUUCCUCCUCCCCAGCAGCAGAGCAACAACACAGCCAGGAAGCCAUUGUUGAGGCAUGCUGGUCGGAAGGCCCAGCGUAUUGUGAGCUCCAGUGAGAGUGAUGGAGAGACAACGACCAGCAGACAACCCAACUCUAAACGCUCCAAACACACCACAGCUAGAGCCAGGACACAUCCGUCUCCAGUUUUGGCUCUAGGGAAGUUUGUGACUCAUCGUAGGGGAGCAACAACCGCCAAACACAAAGCCCCCAAGAGGAAACUCAGUGUCCUGCUAGCCCAGCUCAGCCUCAACUCCUCUGAUGACUUCGUCCAGGGUGGAAGAGAAGAAGGGGGAGGGGUCCAGCGUUCCUUCCCUCGCCGUGCCAAACAGGGGCGCCGCCGGGCCCUGGCCAACGCUGACAGCUCAUUGGCCGACCUGGGUAACAGCGGAGUAACCAACAGUAACGGUUUCCUACGAGAUAUCUCUCUGAACGAGUCGCCCGAGCGCUCCUGCCACAGGAAACCUCUCUUCUCCUCCACCCCCAGCUCACGUGCCCUCCCUCCUCCUCCCUCCUUCCUCCGUCCACCCAUCUCUCUGAGCACCACCCAGGAGGAGCUCAAUGUUCCAGAGGACCCCCUCUCUCUCACAGAGCUGCGCCAGCUGUCGUCCCUGGGCCAGGCAGUGGGACAACCAGAGGUAGGAACCCGUGAAGAGCCGACUCCCCGUGGAUCAACCAGUCUGAGGAGUAACAGGAGCCGGAAUGGAGGCUCAGCGAUCCAAGAUGGCGUUGGUGAGCAGCCGAGCCCGGAGCUGUUCUCCGCGGUUGCCUGUGAGCAGACUGACCCAGACAGGGCCGGGGAGGAAACUGAGGACGGCAGCCAUUUUGUGUCAGCGAUGGUGGGACAGGAUUGGCUGGCUGAGGUCGUGAAGGAGAGGUGUCUGACACGGUGCUGUGCCGUACGGCUAGAGAGACACAAACUGCACGAUGACACCACAUGUUCACCCUGCAUCGACCAGACACGGUCACACGACAACGGGCGGGACAGUCUCGUCCCUAAAGAGCACGUUCCCAGGGACAGUCUCGUCCCUAAAGAGCACGUUCCCAGGGACAGUCUCGUCCCUAAAGAGCACGUUCCCAGGGACAGUCUCGUCCCUAAAGAGCACGUUCCCAGGGACAGUCUCGUCCCUAAAGAGCACGUUCCCAGGGACAGUCUCGUCCCUAAAGAGCACGUUCCCAGGGACAGUCUCGUCCCUAAAGAGCACGUUCCCAGGGACAGUCUCGUCCCUAUAGACCACGUUCCCAGGGACAGUCUCGUCCCUAUAGAGCACGUUCCCAGGGACAGUCUCGGCCCUAUAGAGCAGGUUCCCAAGGACAGUCUCGUCCCUAAAGACCACGUUCCCAUGGACAGUCUCGUCCCUAAAGACCACGUUCCCAUGGACAGUCUCGUCCCUAUAGAGCACGUUCCCAAGGACAGUCUCGGCCCUAUAGACCACGUUCCCAGGGACAGUCUCGUCCCUAAAGACCACGUUCCCAGGGACAGUCUCGUCCCUAAAGACCACGUUCCCAGGGAAAACCCCCACAGAAGGAAGGUGGGAGGAGCUCCUAAAGAGCGGAGGCGGAGGAGCGUGUCUCGGGAGCGGCCCGCCACCAGUAGGAAGGUGGGAGGAGCUCCUAAAGAGCGGAGGAGCGUGUCUCGGGAGCGGCCCGCCACCAGUAGGAAGAUGUGUGUGAGCGGUGUGAGUGUGAGCCGCUGGGGAAGGAGAGACGGAGCUCCCAACAGCAGAGCAGCACCUCCCCCUGGCCGAGCUGGGGACUGCAGCAUUACUGAACUGCUGUCUGCUCAACACACACAUGGGGUAUCCAGUCUAUCAGACCGUAUGGUAUUGGGGACUCCAGUUCGUGGUACCAGACUCCAUCUGUCCUCUCUGCUGGUCAACCUCACUCCUGAGACUCACACCUGGAGUCGCCUCAAAGCUGCCCUCUCCCUACACAGGAAGACCAAAGCGUUCCUGACUCCGAAGAGGCCUCUCUACCUGCUGUCCUCUCCUGAGGCGGAGCUAGGGGUGGGACUAGAGGCGGAGCUAGAGGCGGAGCUAGGUGAUGUCAGUCAAAAACUGUUCUCCACGCCCCGCAACACGCCCCGCCCACCAAACCUCCGCUCAACGAUACGGGGGAGCGCUCCUCUGAGUGUGUAUUCGUUAGACGGAGAGCUGUCUGAUGACCAGAAGGUGUUUUCGGAGUGUAACCAGACAGGACCUCUGGGCUUCCAGGACUGUCUCCCAGCAGCCAGGAUGAAGCUGUGUAGGAAGAUCGGAGAGGGGACCUUCGGAGAGGUCUUCAGUACCACCAACACCUCUGGAGACGCCGUUGCUCUCAAGAUUAUCCCAGUAGAAGGAUGUGACCAGGUGAAUGGAGAGGAACAGAAAACCUUUGGAGAAAUCCUCCACGAGAUUAUCAUCUCCAAGGAGCUGAGCAGUCUAAAGGAGAAGAAACACAACCAGACCACUGGCUUCAUCGGACUGAAGGAUCUCCACUGUGUCAAGGGCUGCUACCCUCCAAGCCUGCUAAAAGCCUGGGACUCCUUCAACACACAGAGAGGAUCAGAGAAUGACCGGCCAGAUUUCUUCAAUGACGAGCAGCUGUUUCUGAUCCUGGAGUUUGAGUUUGGAGGCAAAGACCUGGAGAACAGUAAUGGACAGGUGAGGACACCUGGAGAACAGGUGAGGAGACCUGGAGAACAGUAAUGGACAGGUGAGGACACCUGGAGAACAGGUGAGGAGACCUGGAGAACAGUAAUGGACAGGUGAGGACACCUGGAGAACAGGUGAGGAGACCUGGAGAACAGUAAUGGACAGGUGAGGACACCUGGAGAACAGGUGAGGAGACCUGGAGAACAGUAAUGGACAGGUGAGGACACCUGGAGAACAGGUGAGGAGACCUGGAGAACAGUAAUGGACAGGUGAGGACACCUGGAGAACAGGUGAGGAGACCUGGAGAACAGUAAUGGACAGGUGAGGACACCUGGAGAACAGUAAUGGACAGGUGAGGACACCUGGAGAACAGUAAUGGACAGGUGAGAACAGUAAUGGACAGGUGAGAACACCUGGAGAACAGUAAUGGACAGGUGAGGAGACCUGGAGAACAGUAAUGGACAGGUGAGGAGACCUGGAGAACAGUAAUGGACAGGUGAGGACACCUGGAGAACAGUAAUGGACAGGUGAGGACACCUGGAGAACAGUAAUGGACAGGUGAGGACACCUGGAGAACAGUAAUGGACAGGUGAUGACACCUGGAGAACAGUAAUGGACAGGUGAGGACACCUGGAGAACAGUAAUGGACAGGUGAGGACACCUGGAGAACAGUAAUGGACAGGUGAGGAGGGUGUUUGGUUCUCUACAGUAUAUCUGAUUGGGUGUUUGGUUCUCUACAUUUGGUUCUACAUUCUACAUUUGGUUCUCUCUCUGUUUAUGAACAUACCGAAACUCCCCUCCCUUCCUCUUCUCCGCCCCCCCUCUCCCCUCCUCAUCAUCUCUCCUUUCUCUCCUCUCCCCUUCUCCUCUCUCUCUCCUCCCUCUCUCCUCUCCCCUACUCCCCUCUCUCUCCUCCCUCUCUUCUCUCUCUCUCCCCCUCCUCUCUCUCCUCCUCCCCUCCUCCUCCCUCUCUCCUCUCCUCUCCUCCCUCUCUCCUCUCCAGCUGGCGUCGGUGAUGGUGUCUAAGAGUAUCCUCCAUCAGGUGACUGCUGCUCUGGCUGUGGCUGAACAGGAGCUCUGCUUUGAACACAGAGACCUCCACUGGGGUAAUGUGUUGGUCCAGUCCACUAAGGAGAAGGAGGGGAGUUUCCUCCUCAAUGGAACAAACCAUUCCUUAGAGACCAGGGGGGUGAGCGUACGCAUCAUCGACUACUCCCUCUCCAGGCUCGAGAUCGAUGGUCUCACCGUGUCCUGUGACAUCUCAGAGGAUGAGGAGUUGUUCCAGGGCCAUGGAGACCUUCAGUUUGACAUCUACAGACUCAUGAGACAGGAGAACGGUAACAAGUGGGGUGACUACCAGCCCCACUCCAAUGUGUUGUGGCUCCACUACCUGAGCGCCAAGCUGCUGACUAUGACCUAUAAGAGUCGAGGGGGGCGGGGCGUCAAGCAGGCCAGGUUGGACCUGCAGGGUUUCCACGACGAUGUCCUCACCUUCCGAUCUGCCUCUGACAUACUGUACAACUGUGGCCUGUUCCAAUGAGAAAGAGAGUGUGUGUGUGUGUACUGCCACAUAUUGUUGUUGUUAGCUUGGUUAGCGGGAUGCUAAGUGGUUAGCGGGAUGCUAAGUGGUUAGCGGGAUGCUAAGUGGUUAGCGGGAUGCUAAGUGGUUAGCGGGAUGCUAAGUGGUUAGCGGGAUGCUAAGUGGUUAGCGGGAUGCUAAGUGGUUAGCGGGAUGCUAAGUGGUUAGCGGGAUGCUAAGUGGUUAGCGGGAUGCUAAGUGGUUAGCGGGAUGCUAAGUGGUUAGCGGGAUGCUAAGUGGUUAGCGGGAUGCUAAGUGGUUAGCGGGAUGCUAAGUGGUUAGCGGGAUGCUAAGUGGUUAGCGGGAUGCUAAGUGGUUAGCGGGAUGCUAAGUGGUUAGCGGGAUGCUAAGUGGUUAGCGGGGAUGGAUGCUAAGUGGUUAGCCCUAUAGUAUUGUGUAGGAUCCAGUCGUAACCUUUUUUUGGAGGUGAACUCAUCUUGUGAAUAAUAUUUAUAAACCCAGAAGACUGUAAUGGCUUUGUAUUCUAAAAUUAAAAAGGGGUUUUGUUAUUAAACGUUGAAUAGAAACAAUGA
RNA transcript from Oncorhynchus kisutch (coho salmon), 5366 nucleotides. RefSeq lists it as uncharacterized. The transcript has 17 exons. Lineage: Eukaryota; Metazoa; Chordata; Actinopteri; Salmoniformes; Salmonidae. The record is from RefSeq and is a predicted model, not a curated record.